GACAAGGGAGACGAGUGUUAUUCAUCUUUAACAGGUAUAUAGGGUACCUAGACGGUGUGCAAUGGCUUAAAUAAGUACCUGGUACACUUGAGUUUGAUAUGUGAGAGGAAUAUGUCGGAAUUGUUGGAGGAAAGAUGAAAUUUGUUAAUACCAAUAGGACUGAUAACGGCGAAGGCAAACCUUUAUGUACAUGUACUUGCUAUUUCUGUUUGUUUAUUUUUUUUUCUAUAGAAAAAAAAAGAAACUAAAAAAAAAGAAAUUUCUCUUAUAAAAAGAUACAUCUAUAUAAAGAGGAAAAGAGCAAUGUACUAUAACUGACGUUGAGGGACG
RNAcentral lists this ribosomal RNA (330 nucleotides) under Alternaria sp. DAR77253. RNAcentral's name for it is "Embellisia sp. DAR77253 partial small subunit ribosomal RNA". Lineage: Eukaryota; Fungi; Ascomycota; Dothideomycetes; Pleosporales; Pleosporaceae. The record is from RNAcentral.